This 472-nucleotide ribosomal RNA is filed under the name uncultured Pelotomaculum sp. RNAcentral describes it as "bacterial SSU rRNA". It matches the Rfam family "Bacterial small subunit ribosomal RNA", at positions 916 to 1381 of the family's 1533-position model. The record is from RNAcentral. Lineage: Bacteria; Bacillati; Bacillota; Clostridia; Eubacteriales; Desulfotomaculaceae.
GACGGGGCCCGCACAAGCGGUGGAGCAUGUGGUUAAUUCGACGCAACGCGAAGAACCUUACCAGGGCUUGACAUCCCCUGACCGCGUAUGAAAGUACGUUUUCACCCUCGGGUGACAGGGAGACAGGUGGUGCAUGGUUGUCGUCAGCUCGUGUCGUGAGAUGUUGGGUUAAGUCCCGCAACGAGCGCAACCCCUACGUUUAGUUGCUAACGCGUGAAGGCGAGCACUCUAGACGAACUGCCGUUGACAAAACGGAGGAAGGUGGGGAUGACGUCAAAUCAUCAUGCCCCUUAUGUUCUGGGCUACACACGUGCUACAAUGGCCGGUACAGACGGACGCAAAGCCGCGAGGUGGAGCAAAUCCUAAAAAGCCGGUCUCAGCUCGGAUUGCAGGCUGCAAUUCGCCUGCAUGAAGUCGGAAUCGCUAGUAAUCGCAGGUCAGCAUACUGCGGUCGAAUACGUUCCCGGGCCUU